AGCCGUAUUCGCGAUGAAGAUUGGGUCCUGUGCGAUCCGUCUGCGUGAACCCUGUCAGGUCCUGCCGGAAGCAGCAGUAAGCGUUUGCCGGAUGUGCUGCAGGUUCGCCCGGUCUGAGUGGAUGCGGUU
RNAcentral lists this signal recognition particle RNA (129 nucleotides) under Clostridia bacterium. Its description in RNAcentral is "signal recognition particle sRNA large type". It matches the Rfam family "Bacterial large signal recognition particle RNA", at positions 94 to 222 of the family's 256-position model. Rfam says of the family: The signal recognition particle (SRP) is a universally conserved ribonucleoprotein involved in the co-translational targeting of proteins to membranes. Archaeal SRP consists of a 7S RNA and homologues of the eukaryotic SRP19 and SRP54 proteins. Lineage: Bacteria; Bacillati; Bacillota; Clostridia. The record is from RNAcentral.